Molecule: long non-coding RNA, 213 nt
Filed under: Gossypium raimondii (Peruvian cotton)
Lineage: Eukaryota; Viridiplantae; Streptophyta; Magnoliopsida; Malvales; Malvaceae
Description: long non-coding RNA (GRAI_LNC005285)
Source: RNAcentral
UCCUAUCAUGUGGUUGCUACAUCUGUUAUCCAAAUACCACACAUUCUUUUACUCUUCAGACACCUUAUGGCAAGCAAAGAACCAAUUCCCAUCAUUCUUUUCUUCUUCAGUAAAUGUUACUUGUUAUUGAUUAUCGAGACGAUAGUCUUUUUGUACAUGUUUGAACUUCUUGAAAUUGUAGCAUUGUGGCUUGCCUCUAUUCCAACAAUCCAU